GACGAACGCUGGCGGCGUGCCUAAUACAUGCAAGUCGAACGCUGAAGGAGGAGCUUGCUUCUCUGGAUGAGUUGCGAACGGGUGAGUAACGCGUAGGUAACCUGCCUGGUAGCGGGGGAUAACUAUUGGAAACGAUAGCUAAUACCGCAUAAUAUUGACUAUUGCAUGAUAGUCAGUUGAAAGGUGCAACUGCACCACUACCAGAUGGACCUGCGUUGUAUUAGCUAGUUGGUGGGGUAACGGCUCACCAAGGCGACGAUACAUAGCCGACCUGAGAGGGUGAUCGGCCACACUGGGACUGAGACACGGCCCAGACUCCUACGGGAGGCAGCAGGAGGGAAUCUUCGGCAAUGGACGGAAGUCUGACCGAGCAACGCCGCGUGAGUGAAGAAGGUUUUCGGAUCGUAAAGCUCGGUUGUAAGAGAAGAACGAGUGUGAGAGUGGAAAGCUCACACUGUGACGGUAUCUUACCAGAAAGAGACGGCUAACUACGUG
Molecule: ribosomal RNA, 495 nt
Filed under: uncultured bacterium
Lineage: Bacteria
Description: partial 16S ribosomal RNA
Rfam family: Bacterial small subunit ribosomal RNA
Source: RNAcentral